Molecule: long non-coding RNA, 684 nt
Organism: Calypte anna (Anna's hummingbird)
Lineage: Eukaryota; Metazoa; Chordata; Aves; Apodiformes; Trochilidae
Exons: 4
Source: RefSeq, a predicted model, not a curated record
GCAAAGCUAUGAUGUUACCAGUAUUGCUCCAUAUGAAAAAACUAUUAAAGGAUGAUUAGAAAUACUGAGGAUAUUUGGAUUCCUCUUACUCCAUACUCCUAUGGCCCCGUGUCCCAGAUGCUUUAAUACUGAAAAGGAUCCCACAACAGCUUCACUUGGAAGAAUGAAGAACCAUUCUCACCUCUAAAAAUCUGCAGGCUUGUGCUUUGAUUGUUCCAUGGAAAUGUAAGAUGUUAUUCUCAGACUCCAGAGGCUGGAAAGUCCCAUCUUCUGUAUCAAAUGUAUGAAGAUAAUUUCCUGGAACACAACCGUCAAAAAUCUCGAUGAUUUCUUUCCAAGCAGAUGCUUGCUACACCUCAGCUCAUUCCUGCUCGGUGAGCACGUCCGUCGACAUGUGAGAUGUGAGCCGAACCACUGCCGGGUCAGGGCGGUGCCAUCAUCCCUGUAAACCACCGGUGUGUCACGUUUGCUCAGAGUUCCCUGUUUUGACAUUGCUGACCCUGAUUACAACUCACACUGCAGCAAUAAUUUGCGUUAAACACACUCAUCCAAAGCUGAGCAGCUGCCGCAGCCAUCCCGCGGGUACCGCAGCACACAGCGGGGCCACGCGAGCGCCUCAGGCACCGCGGGCACGGCAGGUCCGGAUCCCCAGGUCCGGGUCCCGGAUCCAACAGAACCACCGGA